RNAcentral lists this ribosomal RNA (467 nucleotides) under uncultured Verrucomicrobiota bacterium. RNAcentral's name for it is "bacterial SSU rRNA". It matches the Rfam family "Bacterial small subunit ribosomal RNA", at positions 355 to 816 of the family's 1533-position model. Lineage: Bacteria; Pseudomonadati; Verrucomicrobiota. The record is from RNAcentral.
UCGAGAAUAAUUCACAAUGGGGGCAACCCUGAUGGUGCAACGCCGCGUGGAGGAUGACGGUCUUCGGAUUGUAAACUCCUGUCAUCCGGGAGUAAGACCUGGCUGUGAAUAGCAGACAGGGUUGAUAGUACCGGAAGAGGAAGGGACGGCUAACUUCGUGCCAGCAGCCGCGGUAAUACGAAGGUCCCGAGCGUUGUUCGGAAUCACUGGGCGUAAAGGGAGCGUAGGCGGCGUGGUAAGUCAGAUGUGAAAUCCCGGGGCUCAACCCCGGAACUGCAUCCGAUACUGCCGUGCUAGAGGAUUGGAGAGGUAGCUGGAAUUCUUGGUGUAGCAGUGAAAUGCGUGGAGAUCAAGAGGAACACUCGUGGCGAAAGCGAGCUACUGGACAAUAUCUGACGCUGAGGCUCGAAGGCCAGGUAGCGAAAGGGAUAGAUACCCCUGUAGUCCUGGCAGUAAACGGUGUGCGC